UCAGACGAUGCGUCAUGCAUAUCAAUAAGCGGAGGAAAAGAAACUAACAAGGAUUCCCUUAGUAACGGCGAGUGAAGCGGGAAGAGCUCAAAUUUGAAAUCUUCAAGGUUUUACCUUGACGAAUUGUAGCUUAAAGAAGUGUUUUCUGCUGAAGUUUUGGUAAAAGUUCUUUGGAAUAGGACAUCAUAGAGGGUGAGAAUCCCGUAUUUGACCAUUAUUUUCAGCUUUGUGAUACACUUUCAAAGAGUCGGAUUGUUUGGGAAUGCAGUCCAAAAUGGGUGGUAAAUUUCAUCUAAAGCUAAAUAUUGGCGAGAGACCGAUAGCGAACAAGUACCGUGAGGGAAAGAUGAAAAGAACUUUGAAAAGAGAGUUAAACAGUACGUGAAAUUGUCAAAAGGGAAGCGUUUGACACCAGUGUUGUUUUCUCGAAAAUCAAUUAAAAAUGGCUCGAUUUUGUAUUGCUUGAGACCUUAAAAGCUCACUGUACAUUUUUCGUGUCUUUUUUAAUGCACUUUUCGUUUAACAAGUCAACAUCAGUUUCUUUUGUUGUAAAAGGGUCAUUGGAAGGUGGCUUUCUUUUCGGAGAAAGUGUUUAUAGCCUUUGGCCUCUGCAAUCGGAGAGACUGAGGUCUGCAGCGUAGACUCUUCGGGGUUAGAUACAUUUGUGCUAAGUUAUAGCUUUUUAUAGACAACUUGUUGACUAUAAUUAGUCUUGUAGCUUACUCGCUUAUGCUAUUUUACCUACGCUUAGGAUGUUGAACUACUGAGACAUAGA
RNAcentral lists this ribosomal RNA (775 nucleotides) under uncultured Neocallimastigales. Its description in RNAcentral is "partial large subunit ribosomal RNA". It matches the Rfam family "Eukaryotic large subunit ribosomal RNA", at positions 18 to 635 of the family's 3401-position model. Lineage: Eukaryota; Fungi; Neocallimastigomycota; Neocallimastigomycetes; Neocallimastigales. The record is from RNAcentral.